RNAcentral lists this ribosomal RNA (420 nucleotides) under uncultured bacterium. RNAcentral's name for it is "bacterial SSU rRNA". It matches the Rfam family "Bacterial small subunit ribosomal RNA", at positions 355 to 773 of the family's 1533-position model. The record is from RNAcentral.
UAAGGAAUAUUGGUCAAUGGACGCAAGUCUGAACCAGCCAUGCCGCGUGAAGGAUGAAGGUCCUCUGGAUUGUAAACUUCUUUUAUCUGGGACGAAAACGGGAUUUUUAUCUCAAUUGACGGUACCAGAGGAAUAAGCACCGGCUAACUCCGUGCCAGCAGCCGCGGUAAUACGGAGGGUGCGAGCGUUAUCCGGAUUUACUGGGUUUAAAGGGUGCGUAGGUGGGCUUAUAAGUCAGUGGUGAAAUCUCCGAGCUUAACUUGGAAACUGCCGUUGAUACUAUAGGUCUUGAAUUAUCUGGAGGUAAGCGGAAUAUGUCACGUAGCGGUGAAAUGCUUAGAUAUGACAUAGAACACCAAUUGCGAAGGCAGCUUACUACAUAUAAAUUGACGCUGAGGCACGAAAGCGUGGGGAUCAAAC